CCUACGGGUGACAGCAGUGAGGAAUAUUGGUCAAUGGCCGGGAGGCUGAACCAGCCAAGUCGCGUGAGGGAAGACGGCCCUACGGGUUGUAAACCUCUUUUGUCAGGGAGCAAGGUGCAGGUCGGGACCUGCUGUGAGAGUACCUGAAGAAAAAGCAUCGGCUAACCCCGUGCCAGCAGCCGCGGUACUGCGGUGGAUGCGAGCGUUAUCGGGAUUUAUGGGGUUGAAAGGGUGCGCAGGCGGAGGCACAAGUCAGCGGUAAAAUCGCGGGGCCCAACCCCGCUCCGCCGUUGAGACUGUGUCGCUUGAGUGCGCGAAGGGUAGGUGGAAUGCGUGGUGUAGCGGUGAAAUGCAUAGAUAUCACGCAGAACUCCGAUGGCGAAGGCAGCCUACCGGCGCGCAACUGACGCUCAUGCACGAAAGCGUGGGUAUCGAACAGGAUUAGAUACCCUUGUAGUC
RNAcentral lists this ribosomal RNA (459 nucleotides) under uncultured bacterium. RNAcentral describes it as "partial 16S ribosomal RNA". It matches the Rfam family "Bacterial small subunit ribosomal RNA", at positions 338 to 795 of the family's 1533-position model. The record is from RNAcentral.